Molecule: RNA transcript, 1259 nt
Organism: Varanus komodoensis (Komodo dragon)
Lineage: Eukaryota; Metazoa; Chordata; Lepidosauria; Squamata; Varanidae
Gene: COQ7
Gene name: coenzyme Q7, hydroxylase
Exons: 8
Source: RefSeq, a predicted model, not a curated record
CAGCCGCGGCCUUCAUAUUGGGCGUCAUCACGCCGCGACCAUGGAACCCGCGCCGCGGCGGGCGGGAGGAUGGCGGCGCGAGCGGUCGCGGCGGGGAAGGCGCUGCUGCGCGCUCAGUGCCGGCGCUCCCUCGGCGGGGCAGGUGGAAGAAAAAGAUGGGGUUCGCAAUUCAUAAACUCCCCAUACAGGUUUUAUUGUACUGGGAUGACCUUAGGUAACAUCAAUAAAGCACUUAUUGAUCGCAUAAUCAGAGUGGAUCAUGCAGGGGAAUUUGGGGCGAACCGCAUUUAUGCCGGGCAAAUGGCAGUGCUGGGCAGAUCUUCAAUAGGACCACUUAUUCGGCAAAUGUGGGAUCAGGAAAAGGACCAUUUGAAAAAAUUCAAUGAGUUAAUGAUCUUGUAUCGAGUCCGUCCAUCUGCUCUCUUGCCUUUUUGGAAUCUUACAGGUUUCCUGUUAGGUGCAGGCACUGCCUUACUUGGAAAAGAAGGUGCCAUGGCCUGCACUGUGGCCGUGGAAGACAGCAUCUCUCACCACUAUAACAACCAAAUCAGGACACUCAUGGAAGAAGAUCCAGAAAAAUAUAAAGAAUUAUUAGAGACAAUAAAAAAAUUCCGGGAUGAGGAGAUAGAACAUCACGACAUCGGGCUUGACCAUGAUGCAGAACUGUUCUGUCAGCCAAGUGGAAUGCAGAGGAGGAACGUGAAAGGGGGAAAGAGAAACUGCAUAGAACAGCGCUGCUGGAUCGGGCCAAAGUCCGUCUGGCUCAGAGCUGUUCGGGGUUUGAAGCCUGUGCAAACUUUGCUCUGGAAAUGAUCGUGGUUGCCAAGAAGGUUGCCUCUCUCUCUCCACUGGAGACGAGCGUCAUUUGACUUUCAGCAACGAUGCCUGAAAUCCCCAGGGCUCUGUGCCAAGAGCAACUGGUCCCGUAAUGGUGGCACUGAAGCAAGACGAUAAAUCAACCAAGGCUCAUCCUGCCCACGUCCUCUCUUGUUUUCGUGGCUGAGCUUAGAUUGUAAGCUCCUAAGGGCAGGGGCCUCCUGUCCUCUUUUCUUCAGAAAUAUGCCAUCUGUGCCAAGGGUCCGCUAUUGGAUUUUAUCAGGGCAAGGGCCCUCUGUGUCUCCUUGGCAUCCAUCCCUCAUCAGCUCAAGCCAGGCCGGUCAAUGAUCAAGGGUGAUGGGAGUUGUAGUCCAACAGUAAGUGGAGGGCUGUGAGUUCCUUGACCCUAAGAGCCACAUAAAUAAGUAAACUCUACCAAUCAA